RNAcentral lists this transfer RNA (72 nucleotides) under Phrynosoma platyrhinos (Desert horned lizard). RNAcentral's name for it is "tRNA-OTHER". The record is from RNAcentral. Lineage: Eukaryota; Metazoa; Chordata; Lepidosauria; Squamata; Phrynosomatidae.
GCCAGAGUGGUGUAGUGAUUUGAGCAUUGGACUAUAACUCUGGAGACCAGGGUUCAAAUCCCCUCUCAAGCA